AUAGCGUAUAUUUAAGUUGUUGCAGUUAAAAAGCUCGUAGUCGGAUUUUGGCUGAGAACGGUCGGUCCGCCGUUAGGUGUGCACUGACUGGUCUCAGCUUCCUGGUGAGGAGGUGUGCUUCAUCGCCACUUAGUCACCGUGGUUACUUUGAAAAAAUUAGAGUGUUCAAAGCGGGCUACGCUUGAAUAUAUUAGCAUGGAAUAACACCAUAGGACUCCUGUCCUAUUUCGUUGGUCUCGGGACGGGAGUAAUGAUUAAGAGGAGCAGUUGGGGGCAUUCGUAUUUCAUUGUCAGAGGUGAAAUUCUUGGAUUUAUGAAAGACGAACUUCUGCGAAAGCAUUUGCCAAGGAUGUUUUCAUUGAUCAAGAACGAAAGUUGGGGGCUCGAAGAUGAUUAGAUACCAUCCUAGUCUCAACCAUAAACGAUGCCGACUUGGGAUUGGCGGAUGUUAAUUGAUGACUUCGCCAGCACCUUAUGAGAAAUCAAAGUUUUUGGGUUCCGGGGGGAGUAUGGUCGCAAGGCUGAAACUUAAAGGAAUUGACGGAAGGG
This 549-nucleotide ribosomal RNA is filed under the name Ostreococcus sp. 'lucimarinus'. RNAcentral's name for it is "SSU rRNA". It matches the Rfam family "Eukaryotic small subunit ribosomal RNA", at positions 594 to 1164 of the family's 1831-position model. Lineage: Eukaryota; Viridiplantae; Chlorophyta; Mamiellophyceae; Mamiellales; Bathycoccaceae. The record is from RNAcentral.